CCUACGGGGUGCUGCAGUGAGGAAUAUUGGUCAAUGGUCGGGAGACUGAACCAGCCAAGCCGCGUGAGGGAUGAAGGUACAGAGUAUCGUAAACCUCUUUUGUCAGGGAACAAAGGCGGGGACGUGUCCCCGGAUGAGUGUACCUGAAGAAAAAGCAUCGGCUAACUCCGUGCCAGCAGCCGCGGUAAUACGGAGGAUGCGAGCGUUAUCCGGAUUUAUGGGGUUUAAAGGGUGCGCAGGCGGUCUGUUAAGUCAGCGGUCAAAGCCCGGGGCUCAACCCCGGCCCGCCGUUGAAACUGGCAGUCUCGAGUUGGAGAGAAGUAUGCGGAAUGCGCGGUGUAGCGGUGAAAUGCAUAGAUAUCGCGCAGAACUCCGAUUGCGAAGGCAGCAUGCCGGCUCCACACUGACGCUGAGGCACGAAAGCGUGGGUAUCGAACAGGAUUAGAUACCCUGGUAGUC
RNAcentral lists this ribosomal RNA (459 nucleotides) under uncultured bacterium. RNAcentral describes it as "partial 16S ribosomal RNA". It matches the Rfam family "Bacterial small subunit ribosomal RNA", at positions 338 to 795 of the family's 1533-position model. The record is from RNAcentral.